RNAcentral lists this non-coding RNA (29 nucleotides) under Mus musculus (house mouse). The record is from RNAcentral. Lineage: Eukaryota; Metazoa; Chordata; Mammalia; Rodentia; Muridae.
UAUUACAAGGCCACACCUGGUCUGCACAA